This 253-nucleotide ribosomal RNA is filed under the name uncultured bacterium. RNAcentral describes it as "partial 16S ribosomal RNA". It matches the Rfam family "Bacterial small subunit ribosomal RNA", at positions 524 to 776 of the family's 1533-position model. The record is from RNAcentral.
UACGAAGGGGGCUAGCGUUGCUCGGAAUCACUGGGCGUAAAGCGCACGUAGGCGGAUCGUUAAGUCGGGGGUGAAAUCCUGGAGCUCAACUCCAGAACUGCCUUUGAUACUGGCGAUCUUGAGUCCGGGAGAGGUGAGUGGAACUCCGAGUGUAGGGGUGAAAUUCGUAGAUAUUCGGAAGAACACCAGUGGCGAAGGCGGCUCACUGGCCCGGUACUGACGCUGAGGUGCGAAAGCGUGGGGAGCAAACAGG